UUGGAGGGCAAGUCUGGUGCCAGCAGCCGCGGUAAUUCCAGCUCCAAUAGCGUAUAUUAAAGUUGUUGCAGUUAAAAAGCUCGUAGUUGAACUUCGGGGUUUACCCAUUGGUCAGGCUUAAUUGUCUGCACUGGUGAGAUGAAUCUCUACCUUCUGAGGAACUUUCAUGCCAUUUAUUUGGUGUGAUGGGAAAUCAGGACUGUUACUUUGAAAAAAUUAGAGUGUUUAAAGCAGGCUAACGUCUGAAUACAUUAGCAUGGAAUAAUGAAAUAGGACGGACUGAUUCUAUUUCGUUGGUUUCUAGGAUCACCGUAAUGAUUAAUAGGGAUAGUUGGGGGCAUUAGUAUUCAAUUGUCAGAGGUGAAAUUCUUGGAUUUAUUGAAGACUAACUACUGCGAAAGCAUUUGCCAAGGAUGUUUACAUUAAUCAAGAACGAAAGUUAGGGGAUCGAAGACGAUCAGAUACCGUCGUAGUCUUAACCAUAAACUAUGCCGACUAGGGAUCGGACGAAGUUAAUUUUAUAAUGACGCGUUCGGCGCCUUACGGGAAAC
This 551-nucleotide ribosomal RNA is filed under the name uncultured Glomeromycotina. Its description in RNAcentral is "SSU rRNA". It matches the Rfam family "Eukaryotic small subunit ribosomal RNA", at positions 548 to 1098 of the family's 1831-position model. Lineage: Eukaryota; Fungi; Glomeromycota. The record is from RNAcentral.